AAUAAGUGCAGUUUUAACACUGUUCAUGCUCAACGUUUGACCGUCCGUCUUAUUUGAAAAACAAUUAUGAUUAGUAUUUUUAUUAUUAUUAGAUGAUAAUACAUGAAUAGUACUUUAUGUGUGACUAAUAUUUUUAAACUUUUUCAUAAAUUUUUCAAAUAAGACGGACGGUCAAAACGCUGGACACGAAUAUUUAUGGCUGCACUUAUU
Non-coding RNA from Oryza meridionalis, 210 nucleotides. Lineage: Eukaryota; Viridiplantae; Streptophyta; Magnoliopsida; Poales; Poaceae. The record is from Rfam.